Molecule: ribosomal RNA, 499 nt
Filed under: uncultured bacterium
Lineage: Bacteria
Description: partial 16S ribosomal RNA
Rfam family: Bacterial small subunit ribosomal RNA
Source: RNAcentral
ACUCAAAUGAAUUGACGGGGACCCGCACAAGCAGUGGAGUAUGUGGUUUAAUUCGAAGCAACGCGAAGAACCUUACCAGGUCUUGACAUCUGAGUGAAAGCCACAGAGAUGUGGUCCUCCUUCGGGACACUCAAGACAGGUGGUGCAUGGUUGUCGUCAGCUCGUGUCGUGAGAUGUUGGGUUAAGUCCCGCAACGAGCGCAACCCUUGAUCUUAGUUGCCAGCAUGUAAUGGUGGGCUCUCUAAGAUGACUGCCGGUGACAAACCGGAGGAAGGUGGGGAUGACGUCAAAUCAUCAUGCCCCUUAUGACCUGGGCUACACACGUACUACAAUGGCCGGUACAACGGGCAGCGAAGGAGCGAUCUGGAGCGAAUCCUUAUAAGCCGGUCUCAGUUCGGAUUGCAGGCUGCAACUCGCCUGCAUGAAGUCGGAAUUGCUAGUAAUCGCGGAUCAGCAUGCCGCGGUGAAUACGUUCCCGGGUCUUGCACACACCGCCCGU